Molecule: long non-coding RNA, 197 nt
Filed under: Lynx pardinus (Iberian lynx)
Lineage: Eukaryota; Metazoa; Chordata; Mammalia; Carnivora; Felidae
Source: RNAcentral
GGUGUGAUUGUUUACGUGCGUGCACAGACAAACGCCUUCUCUGUGUGCCUCCCUCCACGGGAGCCUCUGGUGCGUGUGCGCGCUUGUGGGUGCGUGUGUGGCAGGACAUGGCCUGUGCCUUCCAGCUCCGUGUGAGUCUAUUUCUGGGGAUGUGAGUCUUUGUUUGUCUCUAUGUGAGAAAGCGAGGGCAAUGGGGG